This 466-nucleotide ribosomal RNA is filed under the name uncultured Pseudomonadota bacterium. RNAcentral describes it as "bacterial SSU rRNA". It matches the Rfam family "Bacterial small subunit ribosomal RNA", at positions 29 to 505 of the family's 1533-position model. Lineage: Bacteria; Pseudomonadati; Pseudomonadota. The record is from RNAcentral.
AAUGAACGCUGGCGGCGUGCCUCAGACAUGCAAGUCGAACGAGAAAGUAGUCUUCGGAUUGCGAGUAAAGUGGCGCACGGGUGAGUAAGACUUAGGUAACAUACCUUUUCGCUGGGGAUAACUAGGGGAAACUCUAGCUAAUACCGAAUGAACCCAUAAUAUCUGCGGAUAUAAUGGGUAAAGCCGUAAGGCGCGAAGAGAGUGGCCUGAGCCCGAUUAGCUUGUUGGUGAGGUAAAGGCUCACCAAGGCUCCGAUCGGUAGCUGGUCUUAGAGGAUGAUCAGCCACACUGGUACUGGAACACGGACCAGACUCCUACGGGAGGCAGCAGUUAGGAAUAUUGCACAAUGGGGGAAACCCUGAUGCAGCAACGCCGCGUGAGUGAGGAAGGCCCUAGGGUCGUAAAGCUCUUUCAGUAGGGAAGAAAUAAAUGACGGUACCUACAGAAGAAGCACCGGCUAACUCCG